CACACCUCACUCCUUCUUCUUCUCCCCUUGUCUACGGCCCAAACCACACACACACACUCCUCCAUUUUCAUUCCAUUCUCAUACAAUCCAAGGGUUCCCUAAGGUGUCUUAAGCAUAUCUAAGAAGCUUGGAAGCAUUGGAAGUAGAAGGACCUCAUCUAGGAGCUUUUAUCCAUCACUUUUCUCAUCAUCUUCACACUUGUUUCUUCCCUAGCUUGAAAGCUAGUAUAAUAUGAUGGACGUGCUUGAUUUCCUGAAUAUUUGAGUAAUUAAUCUAACCGAGCAAAC
RNAcentral lists this long non-coding RNA (287 nucleotides) under Helianthus annuus (common sunflower). Its description in RNAcentral is "sRNA HanXRQr2_Chr03g0089981". The record is from RNAcentral. Lineage: Eukaryota; Viridiplantae; Streptophyta; Magnoliopsida; Asterales; Asteraceae.